CGGCCUUGACAUACUAAGAGCUUUCCAGAGAUGGAUUGGUGCCUUCGGGAACUUAGAUACAGGUGCUGCAUGGCUGUCGUCAGCUCGUGUCGUGAGGUGUUGGGUUAAGUCCCGCAACGAGCGCAACCCUUUUCCUUAUUUGCCAGCGGGUCAUGCCGGGAACUUUAAGGAUACUGCCAGUGACAAACUGGAGGAAGGCGGGGACGACGUCAAGUCAUCAUGGCCCUUACGGCCAGGGCUACACACGUGCUACAAUGGUCGGUACAAAGGGUUGCUACCUCGCGAGAGGAUGCUAAUCUCAAAAAGCCGAUCGUAGUCCGGAUCGCAGUCUGCAACUCGACUGCGUGAAGUCGGAAUCGCUAGUAAUCGCGGAUCAGAAUGCCGCGGUGAAUACGUUCCCGGGCCUUGUACACACCGCCCGUCACACCAUGGGAGUUUGUUGCACCAGAAGUAGGUAGUCUAACCGCAAGGAGGACGCUUACCACGGUGUGGCCGAUGACUGGGGUGAAGUCGUAACAAGGUAGGCGUAGAUGA
This 534-nucleotide ribosomal RNA is filed under the name uncultured bacterium. RNAcentral's name for it is "bacterial SSU rRNA". It matches the Rfam family "Bacterial small subunit ribosomal RNA", at positions 976 to 1509 of the family's 1533-position model. The record is from RNAcentral.